Molecule: transfer RNA, 77 nt
Filed under: Bacillota bacterium
Lineage: Bacteria; Bacillati; Bacillota
Also listed under: 1 other name
Description: tRNA-Thr
Rfam family: tRNA
About the family: Transfer RNA (tRNA) molecules are approximately 80 nucleotides in length. Their secondary structure includes four short double-helical elements and three loops (D, anti-codon, and T loops). Further hydrogen bonds mediate the characteristic L-shaped molecular structure. tRNAs have two regions of fundamental functional importance: the anti-codon, which is responsible for specific mRNA codon recognition, and the 3' end, to which the tRNAs corresponding amino acid is attached (by aminoacyl-tRNA synthetases). tRNAs cope with the degeneracy of the genetic code in two manners: having more than one tRNA (with a specific anti-codon) for a particular amino acid; and 'wobble' base-pairing, i.e. permitting non-standard base-pairing at the 3rd anti-codon position.
Source: RNAcentral
GCCGAUGUAGCUCAGGUGGUAGUAGCGCUUCCAUGGUAAGGAAGAGGUCACCGGUUCGAGUCCGGUCAUCGGCUCCA